This 863-nucleotide ribosomal RNA is filed under the name uncultured bacterium. Its description in RNAcentral is "bacterial SSU rRNA". It matches the Rfam family "Bacterial small subunit ribosomal RNA", at positions 22 to 882 of the family's 1533-position model. The record is from RNAcentral.
GCUCAGAUGAAACGCUGACGGCAUGCCUUACACAUGCAAGUCGAACGCGAAAAGGGGGCAACCCCUUAGUAGAGUGGCGAACGGGUGAGUAAUACAUCGGAACGUACCCCGUAGCGGGGGAUAACCUCUCGAAAGAGAGGCUAAUACCGCAUACGACCUACGGGUGAAAGAGGGGGAUCGCAAGACCUCUCACUAUUGGAGCGGCCGAUGUCGGAUUAACUAGUUGGUGGGGUAAAAGCCUACCAAGGCGACGAUCCGUAGCUGGUCUGAGAGGACGGCCAGCCACACUGGAACUGAGACACGGUCCAGACUCCUACGGGAGGCAGCAGUGGGGAAUUUUGGACAAUGGGCGAAAGCCUGAUCCAGCCAUGCCGCGUGAGUGAAGAAGGCCUUCGGGUUGUAAAGCUCUUUCGGCUGGGACGAAAAGGUCCGUGCUAACACCACGGAUCCAUGACGGUACCAGCAGAAGAAGCACCGGCUAACUACGUGCCAGCAGCCGCGGUAAUACGUAGGGUGCAGGCGUUAAUCGGAAUUACUGGGCGUAAAGCGUGCGCAGGCGGUUUGCUAAGACAGGUGUGAAAUCCCCGGGCUUAACCUGGGAACUGCGCUUGUAACUGGCAAGCUGGAGUGUGGCAGAGGGGGGUGGAAUUCCACGUGUAGCAGUGAAAUGCGUAGAGAUGUGGAGGAACACCGAUGGCGAAGGCAGCCCCCUGGGCUAACACUGACGCUCAUGCACGAAAGCGUGGGGAGCAAACAGGAUUAGAUACCCUGGUAGUCCACGCCCUAAACUAUGUCAACUGGUUGUCGGGGAAGCAAUUCCUUGGUAACGAAGCUAACGCGUGAAGUUGACCGCCUGGGGAGUA